GACAAUAAAGCAAAGGAACGUUUCCUUCGCUUCCGUCUCCCUGUCCUCGCCUCCGCUCGCCGCUUCGCAAUGGCGAGCGCGGCGACGGCGAACGGCAACUCAUACAACCAUACUGCCCCUCCUCCCCCUCGCGCUCCCAUGGCGUCCCCUACGAGGGCGUCUCCUCCAAUGUAGUCGCGGGAGGGCGGCGCCGCCGCCACCACCAACGGCAGACAGGGUGGAGCCAGGCAUGUAUUCAUCACUAUCCUUAGUUUCCUACCACUGGCGACGAGAGGUGCACAGAAGGUUAGGGUCUUGGGAGCAGACUUAUCCAUGUAUACAUCUCGACGGCGUAUACGGAGGCGCCGGAGUAUCGCACGGAUCUAUGGCAUUCUUGGCGCCGGCCGCUCGGUGUGUUCUUGAUAAAUUUUGCAAUGUUAUUUUUUCUAGAGUGUAAUUUGUUGUGCGGAGGAUCUUCGUGAAUUCUCCAAUGUUUGAAACCUUUUAACUUCUUUUUUCUCGAGUUUUUUGGUGAUUUCAUAGACUAGAAAACAACAGUAGGGGACUGAAAGGUGGGUGUAUUUUGAGGUAAUUCUUAUGUGGGUUCUUGAGUGGCCACAGACCCACAGUGUGGUUGAUUGAUUCUGAAGUCCAUACCUUGUGAGAUCAUGCUCACUGCUGUUUUUUACAACCUCCAGUUUGCUUGAAUGGUACCUGUGGACUGUGGUUGAAUUCUUGGAAUGCUCUUCUGCACAGGGGUCAAGGUCUGGUAACCUGAAAUUGUUCAUUCAUGUGAUAUCGCUUAAGGCCAAGCCAUGAUAAGGUAGCUCAUUUUCUUUUUUCCGAAUGCGCGCUUGAUUGGGAAAUGUGGUUCGAUUUGUGCGCUGUUUGUUGCAGUUACUGAAUAUGUUUGGUUGGUCUGCUGAUAAUAAGAAGCCGUGGACUGGAUCUGGCAUUGUGCGGAACGGAGCCAGUUUUUCACCCUAAGUUUUACAGCUACCAGACUACCAUUGAUCCUUUCGUGUCAGCAGAUACGCUAUAACAGCAGAGAGCACACAUCAAUCGUCGUGCUUGGCAUGUGUUGCAACUUUCAGUUAUGGCGGUAAUCUGUUUUAAGUUUUAACUCAUGCUCAAGAGUUUGUCUUUGUACCCGCGUUUUCUUCUUUUACCGACUGCGAUUGCGCAUGAUGAGCAAUUAUUUCCUCGCGGUUGAGCUUUCAUGGGGACGGCUGAAACCAUCAUUCAGAAAGAGGAAAACCAUCUUUAAUCAUGGUGGAUACGCAACGGCGCGGCCGAGCAGAGCAAAGCUCUGCGCCACCGCUCGUCCGACGGCGCGCACGGCCAUCGACUUUGCAGUUCUUGUGGAUGGGCGCACCUCUUUCCCCGCCGGCAAUGAUGGGCUGUGGAGCGAGCGUCGAGGCAUCCGGUCAGAGGCUCACGCUCCCCCUCUUUCAGUUAGUGCCGGCCGGACCCAAUAGCUCUGCAAUUAUUUCGGGAAAAUGCCGGUCCGCUCGUUGCCUGGCGCUCAGUGACUGACGACGACCCCGCGUUCUGUAUCUGGGUGGGCUACAAGCCUGGCUCCGAUGAGCUCUGCGCCGUCCAGUUAUUUAGACGGGUGCCUUUCUUUCCUUUUUUUUUUUGCGGGUGCCUUUCUUUCCGGUGAUUCAUCAUUUGCAGAGCUCCGGUGGGUAGCUGUGCGAUGGAACUGCGUUCUCCUCUGCUUCGCAACUGGUUACAAAUUACGAUGUGCUCGAGUGUUUAGGUCUUGUUUGCGGACAGUGGGGCAAAAAAAGAUUGCUUUCAUUGAGAGUUGAACUCAAGACCUCCCGCUUACUAAACGGGUGCUCUAACCAACUGAGCUAUGAAAGCUCCUUGAUGUAAAAUUAGAAAUUAAUGUAUAUAAACAUAAGGCACACCUGACAGCCGUGUCAUGACGAGGAAAAUGUACAUGACCAUCGUGCGCAUACGUGAUCCACAGGCACAGGUUGAGCAUGAGGUGAAGAGUGCUGAGAAACAGAACAUCUUGCAAACGGCAGGAUGAUUUUUAACAGGAGACAGGUCUCGAAUAGCGGCGGACCUACAUAGUGCUGAGUGGGUGCCCAUGCCCCGCCCAAUUUUUGAAAAUUAAAUAGAAAUAGCUUGUGUUCUAAAGGAUAUUUUUUGUCAAAUUUGCACAAUAAGUGCCCCACUCCACAAAAGUUGUAGGUCCGCCCCAUGUCACCAAGGCCGCAGAAGCAACUUCAUUGAUAAUAUUGCAAAAUCGUACAAGGUGGAAUAGUUGCACACGCUUCGGAUCAGUCGAUGGAGACCUACCUAUGACAUGAAACCUAAUUUGAGAAGGCCAGAGACAAGCACGUCAUCUGCUUCUUCACCGCCACCACGACUGCCAUGGAAGCAGGGAGAGAGACCACCACUGAACCAAGACCAGGUGCCCCAGAAGCUUAUUCAUCGAGCUAUUGUCACAUCCACUUUUGGCUGCUUCCACCCUCUAUGGAUGGCCAGCUUGGGAUGCAGAAGACGGCAACCGGAUGUGGCUUAAGAGCACCGAUGACAAGCACUUUGAUGGCAUAAUGCCAAACUCCCCUAGGGACACACAUGACCUAACACUACUAUGAACAAGAAAGCUGCAGUCAGCUCUCCCAUCUUUGCCCCAGUGAGCUACACCGGCAACGAAGGUCCAAGAUCGGCCCAGAAUCAAGAUCUGGGAGCCGACUCUCAAGUAGACAAAGGAAGAAUGUUUCUCAAAGCGGUUCUUGUUGGUUACACAGAACUAUGAGCAAGCAUGCAGGUUUAGCAAAAAAAAGUAUGAAAUAAACUUAAAAAAUGUCCAUUCCCUUUGGAUGUACAUAAUAUUGCUACUAUUACCGCAGAAGAGGCUAACCUAUUGGAUGAGCCUUUCUCUCUGAAAGAAAUUCAUGAAGUUGUUUUCCAGAUGGAACAUGAUAAAUCCCCAUGUCUUUAUGCAUUUGCUGCAGAUUUUUAUUAGAAUUUUGGGAUUUAUUCAAACAUGAUAUCAAGAUAUUUGAUUUUUUGGGGGUUCUCAAGAUAUUUCAUGAUGUUUCUAGUCAGAGCUACAGGCCGAUUGUUUAGGUUUUUUUUUAAAAAAACUGGCCGAUUGUUUAGUAGGCAAACUCAGAAAUUACACACAUCACUUGUGCUUUAGGCCCAUAUUUAUGUCUUCCAUCCACAUUUUGUGAUGUGCUGGGUGUGCCAAGGCCAAGUAUAGCUCCAAUGUAACUCUGCCCCUGUUUAUGGUGGAAAUUUGAAAAUAUCUGGAUUAACUAUAAUUUGUUUACUCUGGUUUUCAAAAUAUGAAUACGCAAAAAUACAUCCGAAUUUAGACUAGUAUGUUUACUUAAUGUUAGCUCUGAUUUUUUUACAGAAGUCUUGAAGAACAUGCUUAAUCUUGUUGUGGGUAGAGUUAUAUCCCUCAUUCAUAAAAAGUUGUCAAUGGGGUGUAUAUCAUGGAACCGGUGCUCGUUUUACAUGAAGCCUUGAAUUUUGUGCACAAAAAGAAACAAGGAGAUUUUUUGUCUCCCCUACUCUUUGAUCUUGUUGUAGAUGCCCUUGCUUUGCUGCUUGAUAAUGCUAGGAAUUCUUAGAUUAACUAAAGGACAACUAUAUGACACAAUAGAUGGCGGUGUUGAGAUGCUCCAGUAUGCUGAUGAGUGAUGACAUUGUAUUCCUUCUGAAAAAUAUGAUUUUAGUAGUGCUCAUCAUCUAAAGUUAUUUCUUUGUACAUUUGAGCAAAUGUAUGGACUUAAAAUAAGUUUACAUAAGACUAAAUCAUUUCAUUUUUGUGAUACUAAAGAGAGAGAUCUAGAAUACAGGAAUAUUUUUACUUGCCCUAUUGUGGAAUUGGCAAUGAAGUACCAUGGCAUUCUUGUACAUGGGUCUUGGAUUUACGACAAAUCCUGAAAAAAUCUAGAGGUUAAAUUAGAGAAAAUAUGUGAAUGAUGGCAAGGGGAAAUGUCUUCUAUAGGAGGCAUAUUGGUUAAUUUCAUUCCUGCCUUUCUAACAUACAUUUGUAUACAAUGUCAUUAUACAAGCUUCCUGUUGGCAAUAGGAAAAGAAUGAUCUUUUUUAGACCCAGAAUUCUUUCGCAAGAAGACCCAGGCAAGAAAAGAUAUCAUUUGAUCAGAUGGCCUAAGGUAUGAUAGUAAAAGUGCAUCUCUUAAACACCCCUAGUAGAUUUGGGUGAUCAAUGACGAACCAAUAUAGGCGAUUAACUGUCCAUCAAGUUUAUUUUAGGAAUUUAGCAUUAUGGUUUGAGUGGAACAUCAAUGGUGAAAUGUGCCUCCACAUUUUCAAGAAGUCGUCUCCUCCAAGAGAUAAACAUGUAAUUUACGCUCGCUGAUACCAUUUGCCACGCUCAUGCCACGAGAUGCGUGCAUGCAUGAUCGAUAGUGUGUCUGAGGUGGACCAAUCGCAAGAGCCCUAUGGUUAUGAGCAGCCCUAGGUAUUGAAGGAGGAAGUCCACGCAAACUAUAUUGAGGUGCUACAAAAUGUUGCUGAUGUUGAGAUCACGGCGUCAGAUGAAUGCCACAUCACACUUGCUUUCAUUGAUCAUGAGAAAUGUUACUUAUUUGAAGGCCCACAUAAUGUGUAGAAGGAGCUAAACUCCCUUGCGCACUAGGUUGACGAGGAUGAUUGUGUCGUUUGAGUAUAGAAAAAUCGACGCAUCUUUCAUGACUCUUUGUUGUGCAUAUUAUGUUAUAUUUUAUAGAUUAAUAUUAUAGUUGAUUUAUGUAUACACAGACGACACCAUCCACCUCACGAAUUCAAAGGAGCACAUAAUCUCUUCAUAUGCCCUAAAACUAUUGCCCAAAUUACCCUUCAAAGAAGAAAAGAAAAGGACCCCAAAUUGUAUAGAACACCCUGUUAAUGGGCGGUUGGAUUUGAUUUAGUACCGCACUUCUCUAUGAUCAAUGAGCAUUAAAAUGUACGUAAAAAAAAGCUCACGAAGUAACAUGUCCUUAACCCGACAACAAUUCUUCGGGUGCAUUUUAGUAAUAUGGUGUAACAUUACAUAGCCUUCCCUCCUAAGAAAUCUUUUUCUCGCAAUGAUUUGCAGCAUAUACUCUCUCUUCUGUGAGAAGGAUUUCGAGCAUAUAUACUCAGAUGGAUAGAAUAAUAGAGUUGAGAAUUAGCAUACAGCAUGCAACAAAACAUGUACUGGAGAAACAUGUCCGAAUAUUUAUCUAGUUAAGGUGAGAAUUUUCACAGCUACGUUGUUCGUUCCUUUAUACUCUGCGGGGCCCUCUGAAAUGGUUCGUUGAUUCUUUUCUUUGGGGCUAAUGCUUCGUGAAGAUAAAGAUUCUAUUUCUCUCUUUUGUCCAACUUUCAAGCACCCAAGGAAAUAAAAAGACUAGAAGGAAAGACGUGGAAAGUGAGCUCAACUGAUGCAGCUAAUCGAGAUUCAUAUAUUUCUUCUUGACUGGCACUUUAAUCAUGCGUGAUGCUUAGUCUCCAAGUGGAAAGGGAAUUGGAUCCUUCUGCUACGUAAGCUCACCAGUGAAACCGUGGGAGGGACCUUUUCCUGGAAAUACAGCAGCAAAUAGCAUCAAGGCCAUAUAUCUCCCAGCAAAUGGUUUCCUUAACGCAUACAUUUAGCCCUCCUAUUCAUACAAGUAUCUCCCUUCGGUUUUCCUUCAGUAUGCUGAAUAAGAUAAGAUUGGACAGCACGAAAGUUGGCACCUAUUAUUAUUUUCUGUUCCAACCUUUUAUAGNNNNNNNNNNNNNNNNNNNNNNNNNNNNNNNNNNNNNNNNNNNNNNNNNNNNNNNNNNNNNNNNNNNNNNNNNNNNNNNNNNNNNNNNNNNNNNNNNNNNNNNNNNNNNNNNNNNNNNNNNNNNNNNNNNNNNNNNNNNNNNNNNNNNNNNNNNNNNNNNNNNNNNNNNNNNNNNNNNNNNNNNNNNNNNNNNNNNNNNNNNNNNNNNNNNNNNNNNNNNNNNNNNNNNNNNNNNNNNNNNNNNNNNNNNNNNNNNNNNNNNNNNNNNNNNNNNNNNNNNNNNNNNNNNNNNNNNNNNNNNNNNNAAAUGUUCAAAUGCUCAAGUGAUGAGAUGUGUUUGCCAUCAGAGAAAAAACUAGCCACCGCCAAGAGAAAUCGCAAAUCCGUUGUCGUGAGUCUGUUAUGGUUAUAUGUUGGGGUCCCCGUCUAGCCCCGUCUAGCAUCGUCUGUGGAUGUGUGGAGGUGUGUCUCUGACGAUUCUGUCUUUGAUGGAUUUGCUCAGAUCUGGUCAUCGUCUGUAUACAUUCGUGUGUCUUCAGGUUGGAUCCUUCCAAUCUAGUAUACUCUUCAUCGGCGGCGGUUGUUGUUCUGGUGCGCUGGUCCUAUGGGACCUUAGCACGACGAUUUCCUGACUCUCUACUACAACAAGUUUUGUCCGGCUCCGCCGAGGAAAGGGCGAUGACGGCGACGCGCCUUGGCUCGCUUCAGUGUCUAUAGUCGUCGCUAGAUGGUCUACGGACCUGGAUGUAAUUUUAUUAUUUAUGAUGUUUUCUGUACUGCCAUCAUUGAAGAUGAAUAGGUCGAAAAAAAUUCCACAAAAGAAAACAAAAAAAAAA
This 6544-nucleotide long non-coding RNA is filed under the name Triticum aestivum (bread wheat). RNAcentral's name for it is "long non-coding RNA (TAES_LNC001161)". Lineage: Eukaryota; Viridiplantae; Streptophyta; Magnoliopsida; Poales; Poaceae. The record is from RNAcentral.